CGCAUCUUUACAUUAGUAUCUAUAGGAUAUAUAUAAGAAAAAUAUAUCGAGACGAUUUCGAUUCAACUUAUAUUUAGUUCUCCAAAAAAUUGUUCCUGCAAAAUUGAUCCCCUUCCUUAUAAAGAGAAAUAUCAUGAUUUUGACAAGUAGAAAUGUACUAUAGCUGGUAAGUCAUGGAAAUUAGAUCUAUAAAUAUCUACAAUUUAAUACGAAAGCAGUGAAUGUAUCGAAGAAACUCGUUGGGCAGCAUCCAUAUGGAAGCUGCUAAGCAUUCGGUAAUAUCGAACAUAAUGAUACGUAAAUCUUUACCCGGGCAUGAUACAUUUUUUACGCUAAUUUAAUUUGAAAGAUAUAUUUAUUAAUUUAUUUAUUUGUUUAUUAUAGUUAUUUACUGAUAUCUAGUUGUUAUUUAUCGGUUUACCUUUCUCCAACACAUAGUAGCAGAAUAAAUAUUCUUUUAUGGUAAUUAUUCCGUAACAGGUACACAUCACCGAUUUGAAUAACAUUGAAACACAGUUUCAAGGUGGACAUUCUAACCAAUAUUUUUCUAUACCUGUUAACGCCGCUUGGCCUUGGUUUCCAAGGUGAGCACAUUUUCAAAUAGACCGAAUUAAACAGAACUCACUAGUGUGAGAGAUAACUAUUUUUAA
Long non-coding RNA from Bombus terrestris (buff-tailed bumblebee), 650 nucleotides. RefSeq lists it as uncharacterized. The record is from RefSeq and is a predicted model, not a curated record. The transcript is spliced from 2 exons. NCBI's taxonomy places the organism in Eukaryota, Metazoa, Arthropoda, Insecta, Hymenoptera, Apidae.